RNAcentral lists this ribosomal RNA (467 nucleotides) under uncultured bacterium. Its description in RNAcentral is "partial 16S ribosomal RNA". It matches the Rfam family "Bacterial small subunit ribosomal RNA", at positions 28 to 507 of the family's 1533-position model. The record is from RNAcentral.
GACGAACGCUGGCGGCGUGCUUAACACAUGCAAGUCGAACGGAAAGGCCCUGCUUUUGUGGGUGCUCGAGUGGCGAACGGGUGAGUAACACGUGAGUAACCUGCCCUUGACUUUGGGAUAACUUCAGGAAACUGGGGCUAAUACCGGAUAGGAGCUCCUGCUGCAUGGUGGGGGUUGGAAAGUUUCGGCGGUUGGGGAUGGACUCGCGGCUUAUCAGCUUGUUGGUGGGGUAGUGGCUUACCAAGGCUUUGACAGGUAGCCGGCCUGAGAGGGUGACCGGCCACAUUGGGACUGAGAUACGGCCCAGACUCCUACGGGAGGCAGCAGUGGGGAAUAUUGCACAAUGGGCGGAAGCCUGAUGCAGCAACGCCGCGUGCGGGAUGACGGCCUUCGGGUUGUAAACCGCUUUCGCCUGUGACGAAGCGUGAGUGACGGUAAUGGGUAAAGAAGCACCGGCUAACUACGUG